AUACGAGAGGCCCGAGCGUUAGGCGGAAUCACUGGGCUUAAAGCGUGCGUAGGCGGAUGCGCAAGCGUCUUGUGAAAGCCCUCAGCUCAACUGAGGAAUUGCGGGGCGAACUGCGUGUCUUGAGGUAGGUAGAGGUCGUCGGAACGUUAGGUGGAGCGGUGAAAUGCGUUGAUAUCUAACGGAACACCGAAGGGGUAGCCAGGCGACUGGGCCUAUCCUGACGCUGAGGCACGAAAGCGUGGGGAUCAAACAGGAUUAGAUACCCUGGUAGUCCACGCCGUAAACGAUGUGCACUAGAUCGCUGACGGUCUGACCCGUUGUCGGUCGUAGAGAAAUCAUUAAGUGCACCGCCUGGGGAGUACGGUCGCAAGGCUAAACUCAAAGGAAUUGACGGGGCUCACACAAGCGGUGGAGC
RNAcentral lists this ribosomal RNA (415 nucleotides) under uncultured Phycisphaerales bacterium. Its description in RNAcentral is "bacterial SSU rRNA". It matches the Rfam family "Bacterial small subunit ribosomal RNA", at positions 523 to 938 of the family's 1533-position model. The record is from RNAcentral. Lineage: Bacteria; Pseudomonadati; Planctomycetota; Phycisphaerae; Phycisphaerales.